This 277-nucleotide long non-coding RNA is filed under the name Elaeis guineensis (African oil palm). Its description in RNAcentral is "long non-coding RNA (EGUI_LNC049582)". The record is from RNAcentral. Lineage: Eukaryota; Viridiplantae; Streptophyta; Magnoliopsida; Arecales; Arecaceae.
UGCAGUCUCUCUUCGAUUUUUUCUCUCAGUUUGUCAUCAAGUACUAUAUGAACAAACUGAAUAUCAACCUGCCUAAAUUGCUGAACAUGCUAAAAAUAGCAGAGAGCCAUUUCAAAUAUGAAAAGGCUCCAAUUCUUCUUGUUGAUAAGAUCAACAAGAAGAAAGGCAAGAAGGGCUUCAAGAAAAAAUUGAAUCUUAAGGCUGGCUGUUGGAAAAUGUAUCUCAAAAAGCCAAUCGUCAAGCUGUUGAUGGUUGAGCAACCAAGUAUUAUAAUUGA